UACACGCUGUGACUAGCAUAUCAAUAAGCGGAGGAAAAGAAACUAACAAGGAUUCCCCUAGUAACGGCGAGUGAAGCGGGAAGAGCUCAAAUUUGAAAUCUUAAAGGGUUUCCCUUUACGAAUUGUAGUUUAAAGAAGUGUUUUCUGUUGAGGUUUUGGUAAAAGUUCUUUGGAAUAGGACAUCAUAGAGGGUGAGAAUCCCAGUAUUUGACCUUUACUUUCAACUUUGUGAUACACUUUCAAAGAGUCGGAUUGUUUGGGAAUGCAGUCCAAAAUGGGUGGUAAAUUUCAUCUAAAGCUAAAUAUUGGCGAGAGACCGAUAGCGAACAAGUACCGUGAGGGAAAGAUGAAAAGAACUUUGAAAAGAGAGUUAAACAGUACGUGAAAUUGUCAAAAGGGAAGCGUUUGACACCAGUGUUGUUUUUCUGAAAAUCAAUUAAAGAACUGUUUAUGCUAAGCUGUUUAGACUUUAUCAGCUAUCUGUUUAGUUUUGAGCUUUUCUUUAAUGCACUUUUCAGUUAACAAGUCAACAUCAAUUUCUUUUGCUGUAAAAAAGCUUGAGGAAGGUGGCUUGAGAUUCGUCUUAAGUGUUUAUAGCCUCUUGCCUAUGCAGUCGGAGAGAUUGAGGUCUGCAGCGUAGAUCCUUCGGGGCUAAAUGCAUUUGUGCUAAGUUAUAGCAUUUUAUAGACAACUUGUUGACUAUGAUUUGUCUUGUAGCUUACUCGCUUAUGUUAUUUUACCUACGCUUAGGAUGUUGACGCGCGUGUGUGCGUG
RNAcentral lists this ribosomal RNA (774 nucleotides) under uncultured Neocallimastigales. RNAcentral describes it as "partial large subunit ribosomal RNA". It matches the Rfam family "Eukaryotic large subunit ribosomal RNA", at positions 22 to 639 of the family's 3401-position model. Lineage: Eukaryota; Fungi; Neocallimastigomycota; Neocallimastigomycetes; Neocallimastigales. The record is from RNAcentral.